Molecule: long non-coding RNA, 2091 nt
Organism: Macrobrachium nipponense
Lineage: Eukaryota; Metazoa; Arthropoda; Malacostraca; Decapoda; Palaemonidae
Exons: 2
Source: RefSeq, a predicted model, not a curated record
UCCGAUCAGAACUUUAUAGAGAAAACUUAUAGGUUAGUGAAAAUAAAAAGAAACAACACUUAGCUACGGAAAAAACAACACGAGGCAAUGCAGCAAAAACACCUUUCAUGGGAAAGGUUCGUAUGACGCAAGAUUGGUUGUAGGUCGAAAGGCAGAUGCAAUUUUUCCUUCUCUCCGAGAAUCGAGUCAACUCGUAUAAUAUCCUCCUCAGUAGGAAUGGAUUCAUUAAGUCACAUAACGGUCACACAAGAACAGUCAGUAAUUUUCCUGGUGUUGGAAAGGAAACGCACCCCCUAACCCCAACCUUGUCUGCGACAGAGUUCUAGACGUAUGUUGACCUCUUUGUUGCUCAAAAGAGAGAAAGAUCGUCCAGAAAACCGGUUCUGGAGUGCGGUUACCCAAAGAAAGCAAGAGAGAGAGAGAGAGAGAGAGGGUGGGUGAAGUUUGCUGUAUAUAUCCAGCUUCGAAAGAGACACGCCAACCAUUUUCGUAUCGAGGAGUCGUAACACCGCCACAGAAUGCUCUCCUUCCUCCUCCUCCUCCUGAUUUUUGCUGAGCACUCUUCGCUGGGCUCAGCAUCGCCGACCCAUCCCAUCAUGUCCAAACGCUCCGCCCUCAGCAACUACCGAACGGAGAACCAACCGCACUCCUGCAGCCUCGGACAAGUCCUCAGUUUGGACGGACUCUGUAUCACCCCUGAGGUCAAGCAACACGUCUUCGUGUACAACAUCCCUAACCAACGGCGACCAAGUCCCCCGCCCUACGUACCCCCGCCGAAAGUGGAUAAGAACAUCGUCUUCGUGAACCUGCCGCAGAGUAGCCAGGAACGUGAGACUAUCGUCAUCCCGCCUCCCCAGCAGAAGAACGUCAUCUACGUCCUGAACGAGAAGGCUCACCAAGACGCUAGGCCUAAGGUCAUCGAGGUGCCAGCGCCUCCCAAGGUCAGACCUGAGGUGUAUUUCGUCAAUUAUGGUCAGGGUGAGAACCCGGUUCUCCCGACGGGUGAAGACCUCCAGAGUGUGCUUCUGAAAGAUGGCCAGGAAGUGCCCGUUCGCUCCUUGGCUACUGGACGCCAGCUUUCUUUCGGUAACAAUCAUCUUAACCGUGAGGUUACGAGUGAAGGCGUCACGCUUGGUAGUUUGGGUGCAGUAACAGAUAACGAUCAUGCAAGCACGCAAACCUCCUCACAGAAAUCCACUUCUCUUCACGAUACCAAGGAUACGACAGACGGACUAGGCCUAACUCUCGAUACCUUUGAACACAGACCAACCGAAUACAAAACGUUAUAUUACGGUGACUUGAAGAACCGCCAUUUCAACCAACCUUUAAAAACCUCCUAACUUGUUUAAAAAUGACAUUCCAGUUAUCCAGCAAAAUCUUCCAAGCAAAAUCUGGCCAUUUCAGUCCCGCAAAACCAACUGAAAAUGAAAGUGAGCCUGAAAGGUGACUCCGAGUUGCCAGACAACAACGAUUUUCCAAAACGGUUCAGUCAUGUGUUUUGUAUUCUUAAAUUGGUUUGUUUUUCAAGGGUUUCGUUUUCCCCACCGAGAAAUUAAUGGUGUAGCGUGAAGAUUCAGCCACGUUAUUUUCCAUUAACACAUUAUAAAUAAAUAAAUAAAAAUAAAAAAUAAAUAAAAACACGAAGAAACCACAUCAAGCAAAUGCGUCUACCCAACCACAUCAGCCUACAUAUCACCUUACUCUGAUUCAUGAGAUACGAUCAUCAGCAUAGUCUUUGUCAUGUUGGGAUUCAGAGGCCGUUCUUCUGGCGGCUGAGUCAUGCACGCACAGAGAGAGAGAGAGAGAGAGAGAGAGAGAGAGAGAGAGAGAGAGAGAGAGAGAGAGAGAGAUGAUGUGUAUCGUUAAUCUUUAAGUGGCCUGAGAAAGGCAGCCUUCAUCCGGUUGCAUGAGGAGGUCGUGGACUCGUGUGUGUGUGUGUGUGUGUGUGUGUGUAUGUGUGUAUGUGUAUGUGUGUGUGAUAUUAAUGACAAAUAUAAGGGUAGCCACUCCUCUCUCUAGAUGGCUAGUGUUAUGAAACUAUGUCCUAUACCUCGAUUGUUAUUCGUUACGAAUAUAAUAUAAUAAAUAAAA